RNAcentral lists this ribosomal RNA (131 nucleotides) under Prototheca zopfii. Lineage: Eukaryota; Viridiplantae; Chlorophyta; Trebouxiophyceae; Chlorellales; Chlorellaceae. The record is from RNAcentral. RNAcentral also lists the same sequence under 1 other name.
AGUGUUCUCGUUUAUAUGGAACCACCUUAAGCUUUUUAAAUUUUUUAAAAAGACCAUCCGAACUAAGAAGUGAAACAUAUAAAAAGUGAAAAUACUUAAAAAGAAAUUUUUUGGGAAAAUAACCUAAUGCU